RNAcentral lists this ribosomal RNA (400 nucleotides) under uncultured bacterium. Its description in RNAcentral is "bacterial SSU rRNA". It matches the Rfam family "Bacterial small subunit ribosomal RNA", at positions 355 to 752 of the family's 1533-position model. The record is from RNAcentral.
UAAGGAAUAUUGGACAAUGCCCGCAAGGGUGAUCCAGCCAUGCCGCGUGCAGGAAGACGGCCCUAUGGGUUGUAAACUGCUUUUGUACCGGAGAAAACCUUUCCCUGCGGGGAGAGCUGAUCGUACGGUGAGAAUAAGCAUCGGCUAACUUCGUGCCAGCAGCCGCGGUAAGACGAAGGAUGCAAGCGUUAUCCGGAUUCAUUGGGUUUAAAGGGAGCGUAGGCGGUCUAAUAAGUCAGUGGUGAAAUCUCUCGGCUUAACUGAGAAAUGGCCAUUGAUACUGUUGGACUUGAGUACAGAUGCCGUUGGCGGAAUAUGACAUGUAGUGGUGAAAUACAUAGAGAUGUCAUAGAACACCGAUUGCGAAGGCAGCUGACGAAACUGUAACUGACGCUGAGGC